This 581-nucleotide long non-coding RNA is filed under the name Capra hircus (goat). Its description in RNAcentral is "lncRNA (ENSCHIG00010014268.1)". Lineage: Eukaryota; Metazoa; Chordata; Mammalia; Artiodactyla; Bovidae. The record is from RNAcentral.
GGCCCUUUCCCUGGCACGGAGUCACUCAAGCUCUUGGGAAGGGAAUGGCUUCAUUUUAGCCAAAGGUCCCGGUUCAAGGUGAAAGGCCAAACUGCAGGAACCGUUCACAUUGAGAAGAAGGGGGCCCAUUCUGGGCACGGGCAGGUGGGCACAGGACGGGGUCACGGCCACGUCAGACACUCUGUGUGUGGGGGUGAGGGGGAUAAGACCCUGGGAAGCGGGGCACUCGAGUGGGAGCCAGAGUGUGUGUCUCUCUCACUUCGGCCCCAGGAGCCUCUGGCCCCGCUCCAGGUAUGCAGCGACCGAGAGCAGCAGGGACACGGCUGGGGAGGGGUCCAGGGGCAGGUUUUAAGGUGCACACGUCCUGAGGUGUGUGUGCAGCCUGGCGACCGCAGUGCAGACACGGAGCUGCAUAUUCAAAAGCUGCUAAGAGAGUAGGACAACCUAGACAGCAUAUUAAAAAGCAGAGCCAUUACUUUAACAACAAAGGUCUGUCUGAUCAAGGCUAUGGUUUUUCCAGGAGUCGUGUACGGAUGUGAGAGUUGGACUAUAAAGAAAGCUGAGUGCAGAAAAAUUGAUGC